GGCGCUGUGGCUUAGUUGGUUAAAGCGCCUGUUUAGUAAACAGGAGAUCCUGGGUCCAAAUCCCAGCAGCGCCU
This is a non-coding RNA of Oryzias latipes (Japanese medaka), 74 nucleotides long. NCBI's taxonomy places the organism in Eukaryota, Metazoa, Chordata, Actinopteri, Beloniformes, Adrianichthyidae. The record is from Rfam.